Molecule: ribosomal RNA, 981 nt
Filed under: Berkleasmium fusiforme
Lineage: Eukaryota; Fungi; Ascomycota; Dothideomycetes; Tubeufiales; Tubeufiaceae
Description: LSU rRNA
Rfam family: Eukaryotic large subunit ribosomal RNA
Source: RNAcentral
UUGCCUCAGUAACGGCGAGUGAAGCGGCAAUAGCUCAAAUUUGAAAUCUGGCAUCCGCCCGAAUUGUAAUUUGUAGAGGAUGCUUCGGCUUACGUCUCGGUCUAAGUUCCUUGGAACAGGACGUCACAGAGGGUGAGAAUCCCGUUUGUGGCCGUGACUUCCGCCAUGUGAAGCUCCUUCGACGAGUCGAGUUGUUUGGGAAUGCAGCUCUAAAUGGGAGGUAUGUUUCUUCUAAAGCUAAAUACCGGCCAGAGACCGAUAGCGCACAAGUAGAGUGAUCGAAAGAUGAAAAGCACUUUGGAAAGAGAGUUAAAAAGUACGUGAAAUUGUUGAAAGGGAAGCGCUUGCAACCAGACUUGCCCGUAGUUGCUCAACUGGUCCUCCGGCCGGUGCACUCUUCUACGGUCAGGCCAGCAUCAGUUCGGGUGGUUGGAGAAAGGCCUUGAGAAUGUGGCUCUCUUCGGGGAGUGUUAUAGCUCUUGGUGUCAUACAGCCUGCCUGGACUGAGGUCCGCGCUUCGGCUAGGAUGCUGGCGUAAUGGUUGUAAGCGGCCCGUCUUGAAACACGGACCAAGGAGUCUAACAUCUAUGCGAGUGUUUGGGUGUCAAACCCGUGCGCGUAAUGAAAGUGAACGGAGGUGGGAACUUUUUGUGCACCAUCGACCGAUCCUGAUGUCUUCGGAUGGAUUUGAGUAAGAGCAUAGCUGUUGGGACCCGAAAGAUGGUGAACUAUGCCUGAAUAGGGUGAAGCCAGAGGAAACUCUGGUGGAGGCUCGCAGCGGUUCUGACGUGCAAAUCGAUCGUCAAAUUUGGGUAUAGGGGCGAAAGACUAAUCGAACCAUUUUUGACUACUAGGUGGUUAAGAGGCAGCUCAAAGUGCUGUCUAGUCCCUCCAUUCCGGGGCAACACCGUCAAAUUGCGGGGACUUUCUUAGAGCCUGAACUACCGCGGCUUCUCGAAAGAGUACAGUGCAGCACCAGGU